AGAAAUGUAGCUCAAUGGUAGAGCGCUUGCCUGGCACGCAUGAGGCCUUGGGUUGGAUUCCCAGCACUGCUU
This is a non-coding RNA of Ictidomys tridecemlineatus (thirteen-lined ground squirrel), 72 nucleotides long. Lineage: Eukaryota; Metazoa; Chordata; Mammalia; Rodentia; Sciuridae. The record is from Rfam.